This 439-nucleotide long non-coding RNA is filed under the name Gallus gallus (chicken). Lineage: Eukaryota; Metazoa; Chordata; Aves; Galliformes; Phasianidae. The record is from RNAcentral.
CUGGUUGAGGACCUUCUGCAGGUGCGGCGUGCCCAUGCGGUCGGCCAUGUGCCGGUAUGCCGGGUGUGAGAGGAAGAACUUGCGCUCGGCCGCCAGCGCCGCACGGAUGUCCUUCUUGCCAUCGAUGUCCUUCUGGCUGCGGUUCACCACGCCGAUGUAUCCUCUGCGCAGCGGCAGCAGUUUGUUUUCCAGCACGUCCCGGGCGUCGGUGCCCUCAUCCAUCAGGUCCAGUUUGGUGAUCACACCGAUGGUCCGCAGGCCCUGCGGAUCCACCUCCUUGGCCAUCUUGAGCGCGUCCGAGUUGGCCAGGUCCAUGUUGGCGGGCGUGACGGCGAGGAUGAGGCUGCUCUCGCGGCCGAUGAACUGCAGGAUCAUGUCGCGGAUCUGGUACUCGAUGUCCUGCGGCUGGUCGCCCACCGGCACCUUGGUGAUCCCCGGC